CACAGAAAGAAAUUUUACCAUGAUACAUACCAAAGGGUGGGAUAUUCCUUGGGCAGGUGGCUGAAUACAAGAAAAGAAAUUUGGAGAUAAGCAGAAUGGGGAGAGUCUUUACAGUUUGGUUUGAAGCUUGGAAUUUCCAUUUUGGAGCAAAUAUCACAGGUUUUUAGAUCUGUUGUGAUUCUGAAUCAAUAACAACUGGAAGCACCAAAAACGAGAGAUUUCUGAAGGCAAAGUUUCAAGAUCUGCUGGAUGAGAGAGACCCUACAUUUCAAGAGCCAAGGAUGCUGAAUGACACAAAUGAUACUUUGUGUGCUUGAUCCCAGUGGUAAUGUCUCCUCUCUGAACAUCUCCUUUCAGGAAAGUUGGACUUCCCUGAUACAUUCCAUGGUUCUGAAAGGGAAGUAUUUUACUCCAGUAAUACCCAGAUGUGAAUGACUCAGGACAAAUAUGAGCUCUGUGGAAAGGAAAAAAAAAAUUAAAUUGUCUUGCAAAUU
Molecule: long non-coding RNA, 494 nt
Organism: Vidua chalybeata
Lineage: Eukaryota; Metazoa; Chordata; Aves; Passeriformes; Viduidae
Exons: 3
Source: RefSeq, a predicted model, not a curated record